AAUUUUGGACAUUGGGGGAAACCCUGCCCCACCCAUCCCGCGUGUAUGUUGAAGCCUUCCGGGUGGCAAAGUACUGUUGGCAGGGAAGAAAAGGUAGCACAUAAUACGGAAUACGGCUGACGGUCUCUGCUGAAUAACUACCGACUACCUACGUGCCAGCAGCCGCUGUAAUAAGUAGGGUGCAAGCAUUAAUCGGAAUUACUGGGAGUAAAGCGUGUGUAGGCGGUUCGGAAAGAAAGAUGUGAAAUCCCAGGGCUCGACCUUGGAACUACAUUUUUAACUGCCGGGGUAGAGUAUGUCAGAAGGGGGUAAAAGUCCACGUGUAGCAGUGAAAUGCGUAGAUAUGUGGAGGAAUACCGAUGGCGAAGGCAGCCCCCUGGGAUAGUACUGACGCUCAGACACGAAAGCGUGGGGAGCAAGCAGG
This 424-nucleotide ribosomal RNA is filed under the name uncultured bacterium. RNAcentral describes it as "partial 16S ribosomal RNA". It matches the Rfam family "Bacterial small subunit ribosomal RNA", at positions 360 to 776 of the family's 1533-position model. The record is from RNAcentral.